This 202-nucleotide ribosomal RNA is filed under the name Kluyvera cryocrescens. RNAcentral describes it as "partial 16S ribosomal RNA". It matches the Rfam family "Bacterial small subunit ribosomal RNA", at positions 904 to 1105 of the family's 1533-position model. The record is from RNAcentral. RNAcentral also lists the same sequence under 6 other names. Lineage: Bacteria; Pseudomonadati; Pseudomonadota; Gammaproteobacteria; Enterobacterales; Enterobacteriaceae.
AAUGAAUUGACGGGGGCCCGCACAAGCGGUGGAGCAUGUGGUUUAAUUCGAUGCAACGCGAAGAACCUUACCUACUCUUGACAUCCAGAGAACUUUCCAGAGAUGGAUUGGUGCCUUCGGGAACUCUGAGACAGGUGCUGCAUGGCUGUCGUCAGCUCGUGUUGUGAAAUGUUGGGUUAAGUCCCGCAACGAGCGCAACCCU